Molecule: long non-coding RNA, 557 nt
Organism: Hyla sarda
Lineage: Eukaryota; Metazoa; Chordata; Amphibia; Anura; Hylidae
Exons: 3
Source: RefSeq, a predicted model, not a curated record
GGACAGUGAAGCUUCAGGGAGACUUUCUGCUGUGCAGAGUAAAGAGAAGGUGGAAUUCUCCAUGACGUGGAUCACAUGUUGCGUGUUCAAAGUACAAUCUGGUUACGGAAAGAAAAAUGUCUAAGUAAUGACGGGAGCCGAUCCGGCACAUACGCCAGGACUUCUGCAGGUUAUCGUUGCCUUUUCCCCAGCAAUCAAUUUCCUUACCGAGAUCUCAGAGACAAUAAAAAAUUAACAAGUGACAAAAAAUAAACAACAUGUCUAAUCACGGAGGGGGGGGGGGGUCCGGCCGCUGGAAACCCCUGUGAUCCCCGGGCCGGCGCUGCGGCCCUGAAAGCCUCAAUUCAUGUCUAUGGGACGGGGCGUGGAUGGUUCAACCUCUUCCAAAACCUAGCUAUCAACGUUUUAGCAGCCAGGAGUACACACAUGAGUAGCUUAACACCCUUCUUCCCCAGGAAACAGGGGGAAAGAUGUAGUAGAGAUAAAUCAGGGGGUCCAAGGGGACCACAACCCCAAAUAUAUUCACCACCAAACUGUGAACCUUGGCCCAGAAGCCU